This 253-nucleotide ribosomal RNA is filed under the name uncultured bacterium. RNAcentral's name for it is "partial 16S ribosomal RNA". It matches the Rfam family "Bacterial small subunit ribosomal RNA", at positions 524 to 776 of the family's 1533-position model. The record is from RNAcentral.
UACAGAGGGUGCAAGCGUUGCUCGGAUUUACUGGGCGUAAAGCGUACGCAGACGGCAUGAAGGGUCGGACGUGAAAGCCCCGGGCUCAACCCGGGAAAUGCGUCCGAAACCGCCUUGCUUGAGUAUGGGAGAGGGAAGCGGAAUUCCUGGUGUAGAGGUGAAAUUCGUAGAUAUCAGGAGGAACACCGGCGGCGAAGGCGGCUUCCUGGCCCAUUACUGACGUUCAGGUACGAAAGCGUGGGUAGCAAACAGG